RNAcentral lists this ribosomal RNA (253 nucleotides) under uncultured bacterium. RNAcentral's name for it is "partial 16S ribosomal RNA". It matches the Rfam family "Bacterial small subunit ribosomal RNA", at positions 524 to 776 of the family's 1533-position model. The record is from RNAcentral.
UACAGAGGGGGCAAGCGUUGUUCGGAAUUACUGGGCGUAAAGGGCGCGUAGGCGGCGCGGUAAGUCACUUGUGAAAUCUCUGAGCUUAACUCAGAACGGCCAAGUGAUACUGCAGUGCUAGAGUGUGGAAGGGGCAAUCGGAAUUCUUGGUGUAGCGGUGAAAUGCGUAGAUAUCAAGAGGAACACCUGAGGUGAAGACGGGUUGCUGGGCCAACACUGACGCUGAGGCGCGAAAGCCAGGGGAGCAAACGGG